UUUGGGAAAAAUUGAGUUCUGAUAACAUAUGGUAAAAAUAACCCUUGCUCUUCCCAAUAAAGAUAAACUGCUAUAAUGAUUCAAAUAGUUAUGCAUUUCUCAAGACGAUCACACUUUAUUCAAGAAUAUCAACCAUCAGAAGUCAUCAUUGCAGACAUUAAAUCAUCAGAAAUUACAACGUACAAGUCACAUAACUUCAUAUAUAAAAUUAUACAUUCAUAG
RNAcentral lists this long non-coding RNA (222 nucleotides) under Lathyrus oleraceus (garden pea). RNAcentral describes it as "Pisum sativum (pea) long non-coding RNA (PSAT_LNC003619)". The record is from RNAcentral. Lineage: Eukaryota; Viridiplantae; Streptophyta; Magnoliopsida; Fabales; Fabaceae.